Molecule: ribosomal RNA, 558 nt
Filed under: Bifidobacterium breve
Lineage: Bacteria; Bacillati; Actinomycetota; Actinomycetes; Bifidobacteriales; Bifidobacteriaceae
Description: bacterial SSU rRNA
Rfam family: Bacterial small subunit ribosomal RNA
Source: RNAcentral
UCUCCUGGAAAAACGGGUGGUAAUGCCGGAUGCUCCAGUUGAUCGCAUGGUGUUCUGGGAAAGCCUUUGCGGCAUGGGAUGGGGUCGCGUCCUAUCAGCUUGAUGGCGGGGUAACGGCCCACCAUGGCUUCGACGGGUAGCCGGCCUGAGAGGGCGACCGGCCACAUUGGGACUGAGAUACGGCCCAGACUCCUACGGGAGGCAGCAGUGGGGAAUAUUGCACAAUGGGCGCAAGCCUGAUGCAGCGACGCCGCGUGAGGGAUGGAGGCCUUCGGGUUGUAAACCUCUUUUGUUAGGGAGCAAGGCAUUUUGUGUUGAGUGUACCUUUCGAAUAAGCACCGGCUAACUACGUGCCAGCAGCCGCGGUAAUACGUAGGGUGCAAGCGUUAUCCGGAAUUAUUGGGCGUAAAGGGCUCGUAGGCGGUUCGUCGCGUCCGGUGUGAAAGUCCAUCGCUUAACGGUGGAUCCGCGCCGGGUACGGGCGGGCUUGAGUGCGGUAGGGGAGACUGGAAUUCCCGGUGUAACGGUGGAAUGUGUAGAUAUCGGAAAGAACACCAC